AUGUCCAAGACUGAUGCUGCAAGCAGCAAGAUACAGGAAAACUCCUUCCUCAGUUUGAUCACAGGGAAAAUCUCUUCAAGCCUUCACCUCAACUUCAGGAGACCAGCAGAACAUCAGUUGGGAAGUUGGACUCUUCACCUAGAUCCCUCCAACUCCGGCUCACAUGUAACCCUUGGUCACAUGCCACUGUCAAUCAUUCCUAGGAACCUGAAGUAAUUUGUAUCCAUAGACAACCCUAGAGAGGCUGAGAUGCCCUAUAUCACACUAGGUGUCAACUGCUGCUACUCUUUGCAACUUUUUGGUGUAAUGAACCACAGUCCUUCCUGUCCUGGUAAUACCACCUAGUGGACAGAAGGAAACAACAAUAGAGGAAGAUCUGAGGCCAGAGAUGAUUGAGGCAGCCUGAUUUGCAUCUAAUCACAGUGGGGCAAAUGUUGGAGUCCAUCCUCACCCAUGAAGGGAUUACGUUGGAAGUGUACCUGUUUAAGGGUCUCAGCACUGUUGCAGAGUCAGUCCAGUAAUUCUGUUCAUUUCAGUUCUCCAAGGCAUCCCAAAUCAUUUUUGGAACAGAAAUGAGCAGGGAGUCAAGUUCAUUAAAACUGGAUCAUGUUUGGCCUGUGGAGUAUUGAUUCUAAUGCAGAAAGUGAGGGUUUUAAAAAUGAGUGGAUUUGUGAUGAAUAGUCAAGAAAAAAAAGGGAGCCUGAAUGUUGCUGGUCCAAAAUAAGAGAUUGACAUAUCAGGAAAGAGUUCUUAUCUGAUCACUAUAAUUCACUGAGCAUCCAUUGGCAGGGGCAGGGGGCCCAUGAUAACUAUAUCAGUCCUUGGAGACAUGUCUCCUCUCCCCCUCAAGUCUUCUCUUCUUUGGGCUAAGUAUCUCUAGUGCCCUCAAUUGUUCUGUUAAUUAAAUAUGUGUGUGCUCAUGUCUCUUCUCUGCUCAUGACUCCCUAUUGAUUAUAGACUAUCCUUGAGUGUUUUUACUCUGGCAUUAAACCUCAGCUCUUCACAAAAGAGUAUCAGGCUUUUCAGAUAGUUCUGGGCAAGCAUUGUCUGCUCAGAUAGCCUGGGUCUACAUUGCCAUUCAGACUCCACUCUGUACUUUCCCUCCUCUGAACCAUUGUUCAGUCUUUGUUUAGGGUUCAUAAAGAGUUUUUAUAGAUGAUUUCAUUUGAUCCAAAAAUACUACGAGGGAGAGAUUAUUAUACUCAUUUAACUGAUC
This 1216-nucleotide long non-coding RNA is filed under the name Monodelphis domestica (gray short-tailed opossum). Its description in RNAcentral is "lncRNA (ENSMODG00000042207.1)". Lineage: Eukaryota; Metazoa; Chordata; Mammalia; Didelphimorphia; Didelphidae. The record is from RNAcentral.